This 74-nucleotide transfer RNA is filed under the name Pseudomonadota bacterium. Its description in RNAcentral is "tRNA-Arg". It matches the Rfam family "tRNA". Rfam says of the family: Transfer RNA (tRNA) molecules are approximately 80 nucleotides in length. Their secondary structure includes four short double-helical elements and three loops (D, anti-codon, and T loops). The record is from RNAcentral. RNAcentral also lists the same sequence under 1 other name. Lineage: Bacteria; Pseudomonadati; Pseudomonadota.
GCGCCCGUAGCUCAGCAGGAUAGAGCAGCGGUUUCCUAAACCGCAGGUCGCAGGUUCGAAUCCUGCCGGGCGCG